CAAAAAAAAAUAACACUUUAAUUUUUAUUACAUUAUUUUUUUUUAUUCUAAUUAAUAAUUUUAU
Molecule: transfer RNA, 64 nt
Filed under: Coleomegilla maculata
Lineage: Eukaryota; Metazoa; Arthropoda; Insecta; Coleoptera; Coccinellidae
Description: tRNA-Asp
Source: RNAcentral